Molecule: unclassified non-coding RNA, 301 nt
Filed under: Funneliformis mosseae
Lineage: Eukaryota; Fungi; Glomeromycota; Glomeromycetes; Glomerales; Glomeraceae
Description: partial contains 5.8S ribosomal RNA and internal transcribed spacer 2
Rfam family: 5.8S ribosomal RNA (bases 1-71)
Source: RNAcentral
GUGAAUCAUCAAAUUUUUGAACGCAAAUUGCACUCUCUGGUAUUCCGGGGAGUAUGCCUGUUUGAGGGUCGUUAGAAGAAAAAUCGAAGUUUCGCUCUUUUUUUUGAGUGUGAUCGCGUCGGAAUUGAGCCGUCUUUCACAUGUUAAUUCAUGUCAAAGUGGCUUAAAAUUCAUCUAUCUGUUACGAUUAUAGAGUAUUUACGAUCAAUUUUGAUUAAGAACGCGCGAUGACGUACCAUCUCAUGUAGUACGUUUGACCUGGGUCAUCAGGUACAUUCGUAUACGAUACUCAAACUUUUGA